UCCCUGGUGGUCCAGUGGCUGGAACUCUGCACUCACAAUGCAAGGGCCCAGGUUCAAUCCCUGGUCAGGGAG
Molecule: non-coding RNA, 72 nt
Organism: Bubalus bubalis (water buffalo)
Lineage: Eukaryota; Metazoa; Chordata; Mammalia; Artiodactyla; Bovidae
Source: the annotation of a RefSeq genome assembly